RNAcentral lists this transfer RNA (90 nucleotides) under Calditrichota bacterium. Its description in RNAcentral is "Calditrichaeota bacterium tRNA-Ser". It matches the Rfam family "tRNA". From Rfam's summary of the family: Transfer RNA (tRNA) molecules are approximately 80 nucleotides in length. Their secondary structure includes four short double-helical elements and three loops (D, anti-codon, and T loops). The record is from RNAcentral. Lineage: Bacteria; Pseudomonadati; Calditrichota.
GGAGAGAUGUCCGAGAGGCUGAAGGAGCACGCUUGGAAAGCGUGUGUAGCGAUUUAGCUACCGCGGGUUCGAAUCCCGCUCUCUCCGCGA